AUCCUCCUGCCUCAGCCUCCUGAAUGCUGGGACCUGAGGAAACACCACCCCCAGCCCUGCAACUAAACCUGGAGAACUCCUACCUAUGCUUCAAAACCCCAGGGUUGGAAGGAGACACCAAGGUCAUCCAGGAAACUCGCUGAGUGUGAGAGUUUAGCUAAGAGUGAAUGGGGCCAAUGAGUCUCUGUCCUCGCAGACUCUGACCUUCAGGCUCUUUCCUCUGGCACUGGCGACCCCAGGAGUUUAUGAGGCGGACGGCCUCGGUUUCCCCUCAGGACACAGAGUUUCUCAGCCCCUGGGGCCUGGCAUCCAGCAAGCGCCUCCUGACCUCGGUCACGGUCACAGUCACGGGGUGCGGGGGCGGGGAGGCAGCUUCCGGUCAGGAGCGUGUGGGCCUCUCGGCCUCAGCUGGCCAGCUUCCUCCCGGGCCCUGG
This is a long non-coding RNA of Fukomys damarensis (Damara mole-rat), 434 nucleotides long. RefSeq lists it as uncharacterized. Lineage: Eukaryota; Metazoa; Chordata; Mammalia; Rodentia; Bathyergidae. The transcript has 3 exons. The record is from RefSeq and is a predicted model, not a curated record.